CCCUGCAAAUUAGAAUUUCAAGAGUGAAGAGUAUUUUUGAGCUUUUAAUUUUCAGCGCCACAGAACUGGAAAAGAGAAAACCUGACUGAUUAUCACAAGUUCUGAGAACCUGCAGCUCCCACUGAAACCCCCAGGACAGAGGUAUCUAAAGCCUCAAACUCACACUAUUAAAAACUACAUCUGAAAAUUUAGCCACUUAUUUUUCUGUGCUUCACUUCACCCUUCAGCAGGGUUGGGGUGAGAUGUAAUACAAUAUUUUCUUAUUUUAUAGGGGGCUUGGGAUGCUUAAUUUUUAAAUCUCUCAGAUGUGCUGCGGAACAACUAAGUAAUGGUGGAUUUUUUUCUUGUGUAUUUCUAUAACUAUUCAUGUUUGACUACAAGUGGCAUAGCAGUAUCUUUUUACAAUGACUCCAGAAGAAAAGGACUCCCCAGGUCACUUCCUGAAGAAUAAUGACCAGCUGAGAGAACUAAUGGCCUGAGGCAAAGAUGAGGGUCAUUAGCAGGGAGACUGCCAUCAAGUCUCCAGGAAAUGCACUGGUCUGGAGUCAUUAAUGAAAUUAUAGUAAAUUAUUUGUUGAGAGAGGGAUUACUCAGACAAUAUAAACAUUUUCCUUAA
Molecule: long non-coding RNA, 616 nt
Organism: Alligator mississippiensis (American alligator)
Lineage: Eukaryota; Metazoa; Chordata; Crocodylia; Alligatoridae
Exons: 2
Source: RefSeq, a predicted model, not a curated record